This 131-nucleotide ribosomal RNA is filed under the name Anaerostipes hadrus. RNAcentral's name for it is "partial 23S ribosomal RNA". It matches the Rfam family "Bacterial large subunit ribosomal RNA", at positions 2796 to 2925 of the family's 2925-position model. Lineage: Bacteria; Bacillati; Bacillota; Clostridia; Lachnospirales; Lachnospiraceae. The record is from RNAcentral.
CCCUAAAGAUAAGAUUUCCCAUACCGAAAGGUAGUAAGACCCCUUGAAGACGACGAGGUAGAUAGGGCAGAGGUGGAAGUACGGUAACGUAUGGAGCUGACUGUUACUAAUCGGUCGAGGCUUUAACCAAA